This 470-nucleotide ribosomal RNA is filed under the name uncultured bacterium. RNAcentral's name for it is "SSU rRNA". It matches the Rfam family "Bacterial small subunit ribosomal RNA", at positions 26 to 518 of the family's 1533-position model. The record is from RNAcentral.
AGGACGAACGCUGGCGGCGUGCUUAACACAUGCAAGUCGAGCGGAAAGGCCCUUCGGGGUACUCGAGCGGCGAACGGGUGAGUAACACGUGAGCAACCUGCCCUUAGCUUCGGGAUAGCUCCGGGAAACCGGAAUUAAUACCGGAUAUGACUAUGGCCGACAUCAGCCAUGGUGGAAAGUUUUUCGGCUAGGGAUGGACUCGCGGCCUAUCAGCUAGUUGGUGAGGUAACGGCUCACCAAGGCGACGACGGGUAGCCGGCCUGAGAGGGCGACCGGCCACACUGGGACUGAGACACGGCCCAGACUCCUACGGGAGGCAGCAGUGGGGAAUAUUGCGCAAUGGGCGAAAGCCUGACGCAGCGACGCCGCGUGGGGGAUGAAUGCCUCGGUUGUAAACCCUUUCAGCAGGACGAAGCGAAAGUGACGGUACCUGCAGAAGAAGCGCCGGCUAACUACGUGCCAGCAGCCGC